This 253-nucleotide ribosomal RNA is filed under the name uncultured bacterium. RNAcentral describes it as "partial 16S ribosomal RNA". It matches the Rfam family "Bacterial small subunit ribosomal RNA", at positions 524 to 776 of the family's 1533-position model. The record is from RNAcentral.
UACGGAGGGUGCAAGCGUUAUCCGGAUUCACUGGGUUUAAAGGGUGUGUAGGCGGGCUGUUAAGUCAGUGGUGAAAUCUCCGGGCUCAACCCGGAAACUGCCAUUGAUACUAUCAGUCUUGAAUAUCGUUGAGGUAGGCGGAAUAUAUCAUGUAGCGGUGAAAUGCAUAGAUAUGAUAUAGAACACCGAUUGCGAAGGCAGCUUGCUAAACGAUUAUUGACGCUGAGGCACGAAAGCGUGGGGAUCAAACAGG